GUUCGUUUUGUUCUCGAGCGCUCUCUUCCUGAAAAAAUUUCUGUGAAGAAAACGCCUCUGGGUGAAACUGGAAACGGUUUUACCUCCCGAACCUUCAGGAAGAAACGUGAAGGGGAAUUGGAAAGGGAAUACAGAUGACCCAUG
RNAcentral lists this non-coding RNA (144 nucleotides) under Deltaproteobacteria bacterium. RNAcentral's name for it is "MoCo sequence". It matches the Rfam family "Molybdenum/Tungsten riboswitch aptamer (Moco RNA motif)". The record is from RNAcentral. Lineage: Bacteria; Pseudomonadati; Myxococcota; Myxococcia.